Molecule: non-coding RNA, 111 nt
Organism: Penaeus vannamei (Pacific white shrimp)
Lineage: Eukaryota; Metazoa; Arthropoda; Malacostraca; Decapoda; Penaeidae
Source: RefSeq, a predicted model, not a curated record
AAAAUGCAAGGAAUUGAUACAAAUGAUGACCAUAUGCUGCUAGAAAAUGCAGAAUGAUUAUUCUAGCUUGAAGUGCAAGCAAUAAGAAAAACACCGUGAGAGAUGCUCAAG